GUUUAAGACCUUUAAAAAUGGUCGCACCUGCUCCUGUUUAAUUACCCAUCCUUUUAACGGACAGAAUUGAACUUAUAGGACUGAUAAUCAACCGUGUAAAGGUAUACAAACAGCAUUCUUUUAUUAUGUAGAUUUCAAAAAAUAUAAACCAACGUUUGUUGUAAAAACCUGAAAUUCUUUCAAAGCUGUUAUUGUCCGCUCUGACUUCAGUUCCGUCACAUCUUCCCCGUUGACUCUCUAUAUUAAUAUGUAAGUAUUAUAUACACACAAGCAUUUAUAUUGUAUACAUGUCAUAAGUACGUAUGUUUAAUUUGAAGCUUAUUUUGAUGAUAAACGUUACUGAAGCUAUAAUUCCGCCGAGGUCGACUUUGCCUUUUAUCUUUUCGGGGUCGAUAAAUUAAGUACCAGUUACGCACUGGGGUCAAUAGAAUCGACUUAAUCCGUUUGUCUGUCCUUGUUUGUCCCCUCUGUGUUUAGCCCCUUGUGGGUAGUAAAGAAAUAGGUAGUUGUCUUAUUACUUUCAACGUUUCGUUCUCCCUUUGAAGCUCCACUCUAAUUUUCGAUAUUCCCUAAAUCUUAAUAUCAAAUACCGACAGAAAGAGGAAGUUUAUAUUUCUUAACAGGCGAUUCUUCGGUAUAGGUACACACGUGACUUUGUUUACAUUUCUGAAGAUAACAGAAAUCCUUUUCUCCCACCCCUAAACCCCAUAUAAAAAUUUUAAAAAACACUUUCUUGAAAUGUAUCCGGUACUUCCGGUACAUAUACCGAAGUUAUGCCUCUUAACAUCCAUGUAAACUUGACAAAUUCUAUUGCACAUUCGUAAUUCAAAGUGAAAACUUUUGGGCGAUCUUUCGUUUUAACUCGAAUGAAUUAUGAAUUAUCUUCUGUGCUUUAUACUGUUCUUUUAUUGUUUCAGGAUUUCACAUCACAUUGGAAUAAUUGAACUGCGAUGUAUGUGGGAGAUCAUUCUCUCAACCAUAUCUCUAUAAAGCUACAGUGAAUUAUGACUUUAUGCCAAGCCAUCUUCAGAAGCCAAUACGUACGGGAUGAAAGACCUCGAAGCUACAGUGAAUUACAUUGAAAUAUCCUUGGCAGCAUUUCCUUACUUCAUUGCAGAAUGCGCUCAAAAUGGUUUUGCAUUCGAAGGAAAUUUGGAGGAAUUUACAAAGGACUUUACAACAUCUUUAAAUAUCAGUGACGAUCUCAGUGGAUGGAAUAUUUGUUAGGAAUAAUUUAUGAAACAGAAGAGAAGAAAAGUAUCCAUAUAUUAUUUCUUUACUACCCACAAGGGGCUAAACAUAGAGAGGACAAACAAGGACAGACAUAGGGAUUAAGUCGAUUACAUCGACCCCAGUGCAUAACUGGUACUUUAUUUAUCGAUCCCGAAAGGAUGAAAGGCAAAGUCAACCUCGGCAAAAUUUGAACUCAGAACGUAGUGGCAGACGAAAUACCUAUUUCUUUACUACCCACAAGGGGCUAAACACAGAGGGGACAAACAAGGACAGACAAACGGAUUAAGUCGAUUACAUCGACCCCAGUGCAUAACUGGUACUUUAUUUAUCGAUCCCGAAAGGAUGAAAGGCAAAGUCAACCUCGGCAAAAUUUGAACUCAGAACGUAGUGGCAGACGAAAUACCUAUUUCUUUACUACCCACAAGGGGCUAAACACAGAG
RNAcentral lists this long non-coding RNA (1673 nucleotides) under Octopus vulgaris (common octopus). Lineage: Eukaryota; Metazoa; Mollusca; Cephalopoda; Octopoda; Octopodidae. The record is from RNAcentral.